GAAAUGCGAUAAGUAAUGUGAAUUGCAGAUACAGUGAAUCAUCGAAUCUUUGAACGCAAAUGGCACUCUAUGGUAUUCCGUAGAGUACGUCUGUUUGAGCGUCGCGAACAUCUCCACAAUUAGUUUUUUUUAAUUAGUUGAGGGUUUUGAGGUUGUCAUAUAAACAAUGACUCCCUUUAAAAUAAUUAGUGAUGACCUUAUGAAUGGGUUAAUACUGUGUGUUAUAAUGGAUUACAUCCAUCACCAGUCAGAGAGUAAUCUCGCCUUAGUAAUUUGUAGUGAUUGCUUCUAACUGCCAUUGGCAAACAAACUGAUCAAAUCGACCUCAAAUCAGAUGGGAUUACCCGCUGAACUUAA
This 357-nucleotide unclassified non-coding RNA is filed under the name uncultured Wallemia. RNAcentral's name for it is "sequence contains ITS1". The stretch from base 1 to 104 matches the Rfam family "5.8S ribosomal RNA", at positions 50 to 154 of the family's 154-position model. Lineage: Eukaryota; Fungi; Basidiomycota; Wallemiomycetes; Wallemiales; Wallemiaceae. RNAcentral also lists the same sequence under 2 other names. The record is from RNAcentral.